CCUACGGGUGGCUGCAGUCGAGAAUCAUUCACAAUGGGGGAAACCCUGAUGGUGCGACGCCGCGUGGGGGAAUGAAGGUCUUCGGAUUGUAAACCCCUGUCAUGUGGGCGCAAAUUAAAACGAUCGUACCACACGAGGAAGAGACGGCUAACUCUGUGCCAGCAGCCGCGGUAAUACAGGGGUCUCAAGCGUUGUUCGUAAUGACUGGGCGUAAAGCGUGCGUAGGCUGUUUCGUAAGUCGUGUGUGAAAGGCGCGGGCUCAACCCGCGGACGGCACAUGAUACUGCGAGACUAGAGGAAGGGAGGGGGAACCGGAAUUCUUGGUGUAGCAGUGAAAUGCGUAGAGAUCGAGAGGAACACUCGUGGCGAAGGCGGGUUCCUGGACAUUAACUGACGCUGAGGCACGAAGGCCAGGGGAGCGAAAGGGAUUAGAUACCCUGGUAGUC
This 446-nucleotide ribosomal RNA is filed under the name uncultured bacterium. RNAcentral's name for it is "partial 16S ribosomal RNA". It matches the Rfam family "Bacterial small subunit ribosomal RNA", at positions 338 to 795 of the family's 1533-position model. The record is from RNAcentral.